AUUGAUUGUGGGUGAUUACAGAGAAUCUCCGGUGUCUCUGUGAGAAAUUUUUAGCAUGUGUAGUGACGCGGGUUCCUUACGGCGUCUCUUGGUGUGCAAUCAACGCGAUUCCAACGUUCUGCGUGUAGGCUUGACGUGAUUUUGGGAGUCUCCUUUUCGGCGUCUCUUGGGUGAGCGACCCAGCUUCUCAUCCGGCAGCUGAGUGCAAUCGACACGAUUUCAGCGUCCUCUGUGUGUGGGUUCGAUGUGAUUCCGGUGAUUGGUCAAUGUCCUCUGUGUAGGUUCGACGUGAUUCCGGUGACUGGUGAGUUAACGUGAAUUUGUCUUGGGCUAAGUGUGUUGAUUUGGGCCAAUAUCAGCGUUUAUUAGGUCACCUAAUUGGGCCAUAUUAAUUCAUUUGUUUUAGAGGUGACUUUGGGCUAAGUGUUCAGCAUUUAUUACGCUAACUUUAUUGGGCCAAAUUAAUUCAUUUGUCUUGGAAAAAUUUAAUUUGGGGAUUGUUAUUGAUAUAAUUAAUUGUUAGUACCAUGACAACCAACAUUUCUGAAUUUUUUGGUGUGCGAUUCACGGGAAAAAAUUAUUCUGCAUGAGAAUUUCAAUUUCGAUUAUUUGUUAUGAGAAAAGAAUUAUGGGGUCACAUUAAUGGAAGUGACCCGAUUCUUACUGAGGCUAAUAAAUUGGCUCAAUGGACAGUGGAAGAUGCAAGAGUAAUGACAUGAAUUUUAGGGUCUGUUGAUCCUAUGAUUGUUUUAAAUCUGAGACCAUAUAAAACUACUAAAGAUAUGUGGGAGUAUUUGAAAAAUGUUUAUAAUCAGGACCAUACAGCCAGACGAUUUCAAUUGGAAUAUGGGAUGGCAAAUUAUACUUAAGGCAAUGUCAACAUCCAAGAUUACUUUUCCGGGAUUCAAAAUUUAUGGGGUGAAUUUACUGAUAUUAUCUAUGCUAAAGUACCACCAGAAUCCCUAGCCGCUUUCAUGAACAAAGCAAACGUGAUCAAUUUCUGAUGAAGUUACAACCAGAAUUUGAGGCUACGCGCUGCAAUUUGAUGAAUAGUGAUCCACCUCCUUCUUUGGAUGUAUGUUUUGGGGAUUUACUUCGAGAAAAGCAGCGUCUCACAACACAUGCCACUUUUCAUCAAC
Molecule: long non-coding RNA, 1139 nt
Filed under: Olea europaea subsp. europaea
Lineage: Eukaryota; Viridiplantae; Streptophyta; Magnoliopsida; Lamiales; Oleaceae
Source: RNAcentral